RNAcentral lists this ribosomal RNA (690 nucleotides) under uncultured bacterium. Its description in RNAcentral is "bacterial SSU rRNA". It matches the Rfam family "Bacterial small subunit ribosomal RNA", at positions 32 to 715 of the family's 1533-position model. The record is from RNAcentral.
AACGCUAGCUACAGGCUUAACACAUGCAAGUCGAGGGGCAGCACAAGGCAGCAAUGCUGAGGUGGCGACCGGCGCACGGGUGCGUAACGCGUAUCCAACCUUCCCGUUACUCAUGGAUAGCCUUCCGAAAGGGAGAUUAAUACAUGAUGGUGUUGAAAUUCCGCAUGUUAUUUCAACUAAAGAUUUAUCGGUAACGGAUGGGGAUGCGUGACAUUAGAUAGAUGGCGGGGUAACGGCCCACCAUGUCUACGAUGUCUAGGGGUUCUGAGAGGAAGGUCCCCCACACUGGAACUGAGACACGGUCCAGACUCCUACGGGAGGCAGCAGUGAGGAAUAUUGGUCAAUGGCCGGAAGGCUGAACCAGCCAAGUAGCGUGAAGGAUGAAGGUUCUAUGGAUUGUAAACUUCUUUUAUACGGGAAUAAAACCUCCCACGUGUGGGAGCUUGUAUGUACCGUAUGAAUAAGCAUCGGCUAACUCCGUGCCAGCAGCCGCGGUAAUACGGAGGAUGCGAGCGUUAUCCGGAUUUAUUGGGUUUAAAGGGAGCGUAGACGGGAGAUUAAGUCAGCUGUGAAAAGUUUGAGGCCCAACCUUAAAUUGCAGUUGAUACUGGUUUCCUUGAGUGCGGUUGANGUGUAUGGAAUUCGUGGUGUAGCGGUGAAAUGCUUAGAUAUCACGAAGAACUCCGAUUG